Molecule: ribosomal RNA, 322 nt
Filed under: uncultured eukaryote
Lineage: Eukaryota
Description: partial 18S ribosomal RNA
Rfam family: Eukaryotic small subunit ribosomal RNA
Source: RNAcentral
CCCUUAGAUGUUCUGGGCCGCACGCGUGCUACACUGAGUGGAUCAGCGGGUCAGGUUGCGCGAAAGUGUUUCCUAAUCUUGAAAUCCGCUCGUGAUGGGGAUUGACGGUUGCAAUUUUCUGUCAUGAACGAGGAAUACCUUGUAAGCGCGGGUCAUCAUCCCGCGCUGAAUACGUCCCUGCCCUUUGUACGCACCGCCCGUCGCUCCUACCGAUUGAGUGGUCCGGUGAGGCUUUGGGAUCUGGAUGGAAAGAGCGUUUCGCUGUUUCUGCCCGGAAAACUCAGUCGAACCUUAUCAUUUAGAGGAAGGAGAAGUCGUAACA